GGUCAGUUUGUAGGUGAGGGGUAUGUAGAAAUCGUGCGAAAAUGGGUGAAACUCGUGGGGGGGCAAUCUCGCUCGGGCGAACUAGCCGUUUUGCUCGUUGCAGCGCAUGCGCUGUGCUGUCUUUGAAUGUGUGCGUGCGUAAAAGCGAGCGAAACGCCGCUGUGUCAAAAAAUGUGUAAACAAACUCAGUUGGAGUUCAGAAAAUCUUACUUAUUACCGAUAUGUGCAGUGCCGUGGAAAAACAAAAAUUGCUUCAAAAAAGCUGUGUGUGGCUGAUACUCCAGCAUCUUCCCAAUAUGUGUGUAAACAACGCCAAGAGUAUUACUGUUUUGUGAUCAUCAUAUUUCAUUCGAAUUGCACAUUACCGGGCAGAAAAAGCUUCAAGCAACCAAUUUUGUUUCGGCUGUCUUCUUUCUUGCACGGCUAGGUCAACAUAUAUUAUACAUAUCGAAGAGGUUUUAGUCAGUGUUUAAUUUAUCACAGCUUGUGUUACUUUCGUAUCACAUUUUUUGUCAUAAUUUUAUAUGACAGCAGUCUUUCACGUGGCCGGAUCGAACAACGUAUCCCAUUUGGAUCGUUUUGCUAUACGCAGGACGCAGCUACGAAUAAAGUUAAGAUAGUCAGAAUUAAAUAUAUACACUACUUAAACCUAUGUUUGGUAAAUAUGAAAAAGGC
Anopheles stephensi (Asian malaria mosquito) is the source of this 675-nucleotide long non-coding RNA. RefSeq lists it as uncharacterized. The transcript is spliced from 4 exons. Lineage: Eukaryota; Metazoa; Arthropoda; Insecta; Diptera; Culicidae. The record is from RefSeq and is a predicted model, not a curated record.